This 496-nucleotide ribosomal RNA is filed under the name uncultured bacterium. RNAcentral describes it as "partial 16S ribosomal RNA". It matches the Rfam family "Bacterial small subunit ribosomal RNA", at positions 28 to 506 of the family's 1533-position model. The record is from RNAcentral.
GAUGAACGCUGGCGGCGUGCCUAAUACAUGCAAGUCGAGCGAACAGACGAGGAGCUUGCUCCUCUGACGUUAGCGACGGACGGGUAAGUAACACGUGGAUAACCUAGCUAUACGACUGGGGUAACUUCGGGAAAGCGGAGCUAAUACCGGAUAAUAUAUUGAACAGCAUGGUUCAAUAGUGAAAGACGGUUUUGCUGUCCCUUAUAGAUGGAUCCGCGCCGCAUUAGCUAGUUGGUAAGGUAACGGCUUACCAAGGCAACGAUGCGUAGCCGACCUGAGAGGGGGAGCGGCCACGCUGGAGCGGAGACACGGACCGGACUCCAACGGGAGGCAGCAGUAGGGAAUCUUCCGCAAGGGGCGAAAGCCGGACGGUGCAACGCCGCGUGAGGGAUGAAGGUCUUCGGAUCGUAAAACGCUGUUGUUAGGGAAGAACAAAUGUGUAAGUAACUAUGCUCUUCUUGAGGUUACCUAAUCAGAAAGCCACGGCUAACUACUU